ACUCCUACGGGAGGCAGCAGUGGGGAAUAUUGCGCAAUGGCCGCAAGGCUGACGCAGCGACGCCGUGUGUGGGAUGAAGGCCUUCGGGUUGUAAACCACUGUCAGGGGGGACGAAGACUCGGCUCUGAUAACGGGACCGAGGUUGACGGUACCCCCAGAGGAAGCACCGGCUAACUCCGUGCCAGCAGCCGCGGUAAU
This 198-nucleotide ribosomal RNA is filed under the name uncultured bacterium. Its description in RNAcentral is "partial 16S ribosomal RNA". It matches the Rfam family "Bacterial small subunit ribosomal RNA", at positions 335 to 524 of the family's 1533-position model. The record is from RNAcentral.